AUGCUCAGUCGAUUGGCCGCGCGGCGGCCCCGCCCAGGCAGCGCCCGGGCCGCUGCCUACCGCUCCUCGGCGGCAGCCUCCUCCUCGGUCCUGCCCGACGCGCUCGACCGGAGCUCCGACGCCUACGCCCGCAACGCCGCCGCCGUCGGCGGCCUCCUCUCCGACCUGCGCUCCCGCGUCUCCCAGGUGCUGGGCGGCGGAGGCGCGGGGGCGGUGAAGCGGAACCAGGGCCGGGGGAAGCUGCUCCCCAGGGACCGCAUCGACCGCCUGCUCGACCCCGGGGCCUCCUUCCUCGAGCUCUCUCAGCUUGCAGGAUCUGAUGUUUAUGAGGAAGCAUUACCAUCAGGGGGAAUAAUUACUGGCAUUGGACCUGUUCAUGGACGACUAUGUAUGUUUGUGGCCAAUGACCCAACUACGAAGGGGGGUACAUACUAUCCUAUCACCGUCAAAAAGCAUCUGCGGGCGCAGGAAAUAGCUUCUGAAUGUAAAUUGCCCUGCAUAUAUCUUGUUGACAGUGGAGGCGCUAAUCUCCCCAAGCAGGCAGAGGUUUUCCCCGACCGUGAUAAUUUUGGUCGAAUAUUCUACAACCAAGCUAAGAUGUCUGCAGAUGGUAUUCCUCAGAUUGCAGUAGUUUUAGGUUCUUGUACCGCUGGCGGGGCUUAUAUCCCUGCAAUGGCUGAUGAAAGUAUAAUAGUUAAGGGAAAUGGAACGAUAUUUCUAGCUGGUCCACCCCUUGUAAAGGCUGCUACAGGGGAGGAGAUAUCUGCUGAGGACCUUGGUGGAGCAUCAGUGCAUUGUAAAGUAUCAGGAGUCUCUGAUCAUUUUGCACAAGAUGAACGUCAUGGUCUUGCGCUGGGAAGGAACAUUGUGAAGAACCUCCAUUUGGCCGCUAAAGAAACAAGUAUACACAAUUCUGCUUGUGAUUACCAAGAACCAUUGUAUGAUGUACAGGAACUUCGCUCAAUUGCACCAGCUGAUACGAAGCAAUCUUUUGAUAUUCGCUCAAUAAUAGCUCGUAUAGUCGAUGGAAGUGAAUUUGAUGAAUUCAAAAAAUUGUACGGAACAACACUAGUGACCGGUUUUGCAAGGAUAUGCGGGCAGCCAGUUGGAAUUAUUGGAAACAAUGGCAUUUUAUUUACCGAGUCGGCACUAAAGGGUACCCACUUCAUUGAGUUGUGUGCUCAACGCAAUAUUCCUCUGAUAUUCCUUCAAAAUAUUUCUGGAUUCAUGGUUGGGUCGAAAUCUGAAGCAAGUGGAAUUGCGAAAGCUGGAGCAAAAAUGGUUAUGGCAGUUUCCUGUUCAAAGGUUCCUAAAAUUACCAUAAUUGUCGGUGGAAGUUUUGGUGCUGGGAAUUAUGGAAUGUGUGGACGUGCAUACAGCCCGAAUUUUUUGUUCAUGUGGCCAACUGCUAGGAUAUCUGUUAUGGGUGGCAUUCAGGCAGCUGGUGUUCUUGCCCAAAUAGAGAAGAACAACAGGAAAAGGCAAGGAGUGGAGUGGACCAAAGAUGACGAAGAAGCCUUCAAAGCCAAAGUCGUCGAGGCCUAUGACAAGGAAGGAAGCCCGUAUUACUCGACCGCUAGGCUUUGGGACGACGGGAUCAUAGAUCCCGCAGAUACCAGGCGGGUUCUAAGCCUUUGCCUUUCUGCUUCGGCCAAGCCGGUUCCAGAAGUCACGAAAUAUGGCGUGUUCCGAAUGUAA
This 1698-nucleotide ribosomal RNA is filed under the name Triticum aestivum (bread wheat). RNAcentral describes it as "partial small subunit ribosomal RNA". The record is from RNAcentral. Lineage: Eukaryota; Viridiplantae; Streptophyta; Magnoliopsida; Poales; Poaceae.